RNAcentral lists this ribosomal RNA (253 nucleotides) under uncultured bacterium. RNAcentral describes it as "partial 16S ribosomal RNA". It matches the Rfam family "Bacterial small subunit ribosomal RNA", at positions 524 to 776 of the family's 1533-position model. The record is from RNAcentral.
UACGUAGGGGGCAAGCGUUGUCCGGAAUCAUUGGGCGUAAAGGGCGCGUAGGCGGCUUGGCAAGUGGAAGGUGAAAUCCCUCGGCUUAACCGAGGAACUGCCCUCCAAACUGCUUCGCUUGAGACCGGGAGAGGUGAGUGGAAUUCCCAGUGUAGCGGUGAAAUGCGUAGAUAUUGGGAGGAACACCAGUGGCGAAGGCGGCUCACUGGACCGGUACUGACGCUGAUGCGCGAAAGCCAGGGGAGCGAACGGG